GAUGAAGAACGUAGCGAAACGCGAUAAGUAAUGUGAAUUGCAGAAUUCAGUGAAUCAUCGAAUCUUUGAACGCACAUUGCGCCCGCCAGUAUUCUGGCGAGCAUGCCUGUUCGAGCGUCAUUUCAACCAUCAAGCCCCAGGCUUGUGUUGGAGCCCUGCGGCUGCCGCAGCCUCCCAAAACCAGUGGCGGGCUCGCUAUCACACCGAGUGCAGUAGUUUACUCUUCGCUCAGGGCGUGUGGCGGGUGCUAGCCGUGAAACCCCCAACUUCUCAAGGUUGACCUCGGAUCAGGUAGGAAUACCCGCUGAACUUAAGCAUAUCAAUAAGCGGAGGA
This 334-nucleotide unclassified non-coding RNA is filed under the name soil metagenome. RNAcentral describes it as "partial contains 5.8S ribosomal RNA, internal transcribed spacer 2, and large subunit ribosomal RNA". The stretch from base 1 to 120 matches the Rfam family "5.8S ribosomal RNA", at positions 35 to 154 of the family's 154-position model. The record is from RNAcentral.